CCAGUCUUGACAUCUUUACAACCCUAGAGUAGGGUUCCCCUUCGGGGGCAGAGCACAGGUGGGCAUGGUGUCGUCAGCUCGUGUCGUGAGAUGUGGGUUAAGUCCCGCAACGAGCGCAACCCUUGAUCUUAGUUGCCAGCAUUCAGUUGGGCACUCUAAGGUGUAGGCCGGUGACAAACCGGAGGAAGGUGGGGAUGACGUCAAAUCAUCAUGCCCCUUAUGACGUGGGCUACACACGCGCUACAAUGGGCAGAACAAAGGGCAGCGAAGCCGCGAGGCUAAGCCAAUCCCACAAAUCUGUUCUCAGUUCGGAUCGCAGUCUGCAACUCGACUGCGUGAAGCUGGAAUCGCUAGUAAUCGCGGAUCAGCAUGCCGCGGUGAAUACGUUCCCGGGCCUUGUACACACCGCCCGUCACACCACGAGAGUUUGUAACACCCGAAGU
This 443-nucleotide ribosomal RNA is filed under the name Bacillus licheniformis. RNAcentral describes it as "bacterial SSU rRNA". It matches the Rfam family "Bacterial small subunit ribosomal RNA", at positions 975 to 1427 of the family's 1533-position model. The record is from RNAcentral. Lineage: Bacteria; Bacillati; Bacillota; Bacilli; Caryophanales; Bacillaceae.